This 321-nucleotide transfer-messenger RNA is filed under the name Elioraea sp. Yellowstone. Its description in RNAcentral is "Alphaproteobacteria transfer-messenger RNA". It matches the Rfam family "Alphaproteobacteria transfer-messenger RNA". From Rfam's summary of the family: Bacterial tmRNA, also known as 10Sa RNA or SsrA, is named for its dual tRNA and mRNA-like properties. Its role is to liberate the mRNA from a stalled ribosome. The record is from Rfam by way of RNAcentral. Lineage: Bacteria; Pseudomonadati; Pseudomonadota; Alphaproteobacteria; Acetobacterales; Elioraeaceae.
GGGCUUCCGCAUGACGGCUGCGUUUCCUAUAUUCGGGGCUGCCGGGGCAACCCGGCUAUGGCGAUAAACGGCGCGUGGAAUAAGCGUUGCGGACCCGGGGGCAGUGCCCGGCGCCUCCACCAGCACCGCCUCGGCUGUGGCGGAGUGCGGGGGCGAAACAGGCUCGACGCGCGUGGUAAAGACCCGCCUUUCGCCCGGCAUGGUACCGCCGUCAUCGGGCCGAUCAUAAGUGCCAACGACAACAGCCGUAUGGCGCUCGCUGCCUGACGUAGUCUAGGCAAGCGCGGUCCGGGGGGCACCGGGCAACAGAAGCCCCCCACU